GGUGAGUAACACGUGGAUAACCUACCUAUAAGACUGGGAUAACUUCGGGAAACCGGAGCUAAUACCGGAUAAUAUAUUGAACCGCAUGGUUCAAUAGUGAAAGACGGUUUUGCUGUCACUUAUAGAUGGAUCCGCGCCGCAUUAGCUAGUUGGUAAGGUGACGGCUUACCAAGGCAACGAUGCGUAGCCGACCUGAGAGGGUGAUCGGCCACACUGGAACUGAGACACGGUCCAG
RNAcentral lists this ribosomal RNA (235 nucleotides) under uncultured Staphylococcus sp. Its description in RNAcentral is "partial 16S ribosomal RNA". It matches the Rfam family "Bacterial small subunit ribosomal RNA", at positions 105 to 334 of the family's 1533-position model. The record is from RNAcentral. Lineage: Bacteria; Bacillati; Bacillota; Bacilli; Caryophanales; Staphylococcaceae.